UCAACAACUAAUCCACAAAGCAGAUAACUGAAAUGGAGUCUCACUCUGUCGCCCAGGCUGGAGUACAGUGGCGCAAUCUCGGCUCACUACAAACUCCGUCUCCCGGGUUCAAGCCAUUCUCCUGCCUCAGCCUCCCAAGCAGCUGGGACUACAGACGCCCCCCACCAUGCCCGGCUAUUUUUUUUUUAUUUUUUGUAGAGACGGGGUUUCACCGUGUUAGCCAGGAUGGUCUCGAUCUCCUAACCUCGUGAUCUGCCCGCCUCGGCCUCCCAAAGUGCUGGGAUUACAGGCGUGAGACACCGCGUCUGGCUAAUUAUGGUUAUUCUUAUCAUCAUCAUUUGAAAGAACAGUUGUAAAUAAAGAGAGUAAAUAAAUUA
Homo sapiens (human) is the source of this 377-nucleotide long non-coding RNA. Ensembl annotates it as LIX1L antisense RNA 1. Its record names the gene LIX1L-AS1. The record is from Ensembl. NCBI's taxonomy places the organism in Eukaryota, Metazoa, Chordata, Mammalia, Primates, Hominidae.